Molecule: transfer RNA, 64 nt
Filed under: Litoditis aff. marina PmIII
Lineage: Eukaryota; Metazoa; Nematoda; Chromadorea; Rhabditida; Rhabditidae
Description: tRNA-Ile
Source: RNAcentral
ACUUUUCUAGUAAAAUAAUAUUAUAUUAUCUUGAUAAGGUAAAGUUCCAAUAAUGGGAGAAGUA